AGCCCUGGCUGGCUGUGUGACCUCAGGGGGCAGAUGGCCUCUCAGAGCCCGAGGCCAUCAAGUGGCCAGGAUGGUGGUGGUGCGUGCAGGGUAGUGGGGCAGCUGACCCGUGCAGAGGGAUCCAGGCUGGCCGGAGGUGGGCCGCAAUCCAGGACGAGUGUUUCUUGGUUUCUACAAAGGGAAGAGCUGAGCCGGUGUGGCCCGUGUGAUGCAGUCAGCCGAAGCACCUGCAGCCCAGGCAGCGGCGAAACGCCCCCACUGGAGACAGCCACUUCCUGCUCUUGGCUCCUGACAAAGCUUCCCCUUCCUCUGCUCUCGCACAGCGGAACUUCAUGUGAACUUAAAGCAUCCCUUCCAGAUAAAGAGGCUGGAUCCUCAGAUAAAGAGACUGAGACCCAAAGAGGGGCAGUCACUUGGCCAAGGCCAUGUGGCUGUUAGAGUUGUAGUCCGAAUUUGAAGCCAGGGAGACUGAUCGUGGAACACCUGCUUUCAGUGGAAGCUUCUGACAAAAUACAGCAGACUGCGAUGCCACCCGGCUGUUGCCCCAGAGAUGCCACUUCCCCCAGCUUGUCUGAGCUGACCUGAUCGUUACUGCAAAUGGCUGGAUUCAUCUUUGUCAAGUUUGCACUUUCCCCCAAGUUUGAAUUAACCUCGACGUUAAUUUGCUGAUGAAGCGCCUGCGGAAGGUCAUAUAGCGUGAGCACCUGUGAUUUCCAAGGAAAUUAUUGUAAUGUGCUAAAUGGGAGAUUUAAAGGUUACUUGUUCCCCUGCAAUCUAUGAACUGUUAUGUGAAAAAGUCAUAACUGAAAUAAUUGAAGUGUCAGAAAGAAA
Molecule: long non-coding RNA, 831 nt
Organism: Saimiri boliviensis boliviensis (Bolivian squirrel monkey)
Lineage: Eukaryota; Metazoa; Chordata; Mammalia; Primates; Cebidae
Source: RefSeq, a predicted model, not a curated record